AGAGCGAACGCUGGCGGCAGGCUUAACACAUGCAAGUCGAGCGGGCGUAGCAAUACGUCAGCGGCAGACGGGUGAGUAGCGCGUGGGAACCUGCCCUGUUGUGGGGGAUAACCGAGGGAAACUUCGGCUAAUACCGCAUACGCCCCGGGACUUGGUCUUCGGAUUAGGUCUGGGGGGAAAGAUUGAUCGCAGCAGGAGGGGCCCGCGUCGGAUUAGCUGGUUGGUGGGGUAACGGCUCACCAAGGCGAUGAUCCGUAGCUGGUCUGAGAGGAUGAUCAGCCACACUGGGACUGAGACACGGCCCAGACUCCUACGGGAGGCAGCAGUGGGGAAUAUUGGACAAUGGGGGCAACCCUGAUCCAGCAAUGCCGCGUGAGUGAUGAAGGCCUUAGGGUUGUAAAGCUCUUUCGCCGCGACGAUGAUGACGGUAGCGGGAGAAGAAGCCCGGCUAACUUCGCGCCAGCAGCCGCGGU
RNAcentral lists this ribosomal RNA (473 nucleotides) under uncultured bacterium. RNAcentral describes it as "SSU rRNA". It matches the Rfam family "Bacterial small subunit ribosomal RNA", at positions 26 to 521 of the family's 1533-position model. The record is from RNAcentral.